This is a small nucleolar RNA of Phyllopteryx taeniolatus (common seadragon), 72 nucleotides long. The record is from RefSeq and is a predicted model, not a curated record. Lineage: Eukaryota; Metazoa; Chordata; Actinopteri; Syngnathiformes; Syngnathidae.
AGCAGAAAUGAUGAGCCCAUGUUACCGCCCCAGUCUGAAAUUUUAUGACUGAUUGGUCCUCUCUGAUCUUCA